Long non-coding RNA from Cherax quadricarinatus, 585 nucleotides. RefSeq lists it as uncharacterized. The record is from RefSeq and is a predicted model, not a curated record. NCBI's taxonomy places the organism in Eukaryota, Metazoa, Arthropoda, Malacostraca, Decapoda, Parastacidae.
UUGGCAUCGCCCAGAGUGGGUUUUUUCCAUCUAGUGACACUAAUAUACUCUUGAAUUUUACCCUCUACACUGUCGAUCAAUGAGAAAUUGUUUUAUGGGGAGCCCUCCAACACCAGGUCAAAAUAUCUCUGCAUUUUAGAGGACAGUGACUCAGAACCAGAGGUAGAUGACCCAGAAUUGCUUGAUAGUGAUGAAUACAGAUGCAGAGGUGUCAAGUGAUGAUGAGGAGGAAGAAAGGCCAGCCAAAAAGCAGAAAUUACUGGCAAGCUGCUUAGUUGCAAGUAUUGCAGAAGAAAGAAUUUUUGUUACAUCCUCAUCCUACUGUUCUGUAUGCAAAAUAAAUUAUGCAUAAACGAUAAAAAUUGCUUCAUAGACUUUCAUUCUAGCAAUUAGUAAUAUAGAAGGAUUGCUCUUCCUCAGGAAACUCAGGAAUAUAGGACUUGAAAGUUUUAUCCCUUUCCAAUAUGUCCAUGUUGCUAUGUGUUUCAUUUUUAUAUUUUUCUAAUACUUACAAAAUGUUUUGAUACAAGUUCCAUUUAUGUUUUUGAUACUGCCCGUUUGUAUAAUAAAUUUAAAAAAUAGUUA